UCUGUGUAUGCAUGUAUGUGUGACAGACAUAGGGGUUUGUAGGCUACAUGUGCGUGUGUCUUGUGCUGCGAUUGUCCACACUUGCAUAUGUUUCAUUGAGUCCAUUUGAGAGAGUCUAAUAUAAACCGUUUCCCACUUCAUAGUUUAUAGCUUAUGCCCCCUAUAAUGUGUGGCAUUAUAGGGAUAUAGGGUAUCAUGUAGGUAUAGGCUGCAAUGGACAGUAAAUAAUUAAAGCCUAUCGACAUCAUACGAUUUAAGUGGCCUUAAAAACAAAACAUAAUCCUACACAUUUGAUAUGCCAGAUAUACACGUGGUAUAAUAAGGCCUAGUAAAAUAGUAACUAGGUUUUAGACUAGCCUACUUUACAAUAUGCGAAGAGGUUGGUCACAGGCUACGACGUACGGAACAAAACAAUGGUUUAACAAAUAAUACAUACGAUUACAGAAAGCCUAAAUGCGUUGAGUAAAAUACGUCUAGUGUGUGUGUGUGUGUGUCGUGUGUGCGCUCCCGCCCGCGCACCAGUGUGUGUUCUAUUUUUUCACCGCUAGGUGACGCCAAACGUUCAAAAUAAUCCACGGAGGCCGUCAUUCACUUGAUCUAGGCCUUACGCUAGUAUUAAAAGACAGGGAAAAUAUCUAUAAAUAAAUAAUUAUUGAUUCUAUUUCGUAAUGCAUUUUACAAAGGAAUGUGUGCCAAUGAAGGGUUAUUUUAAACUUCCAUGCCAAAUUGUGUCCAUUGGUGAACCAAUGUUUUGAGAUUUUAUAUGAUGAAAAAUCAUGACACAUGCAGUCUAAUUAUAUGAAUUAGUGUUAAUUUCUCUCUGCUGCAUCCUAUCCCUAUCCCACUAACUUUCUUAGUGCCCGAAAUACCUUAUACAAAAGGCUACAUUAUUCCACGACAGACUAGGCUACAGUAUAGAUUAGUAUGUAUCUACAAACUGUCGUAGUAUAUAUAAUGCAUGAAGUGACCCUAAUUACAGUAAUAUACCUUGCCCAUAAAGUAGGCCUACACGCAAUCGCUCAAGAUAUAUCAACGUGUAUACACACAGGCGAAAGCGUGUGUUUAAAAGAAACAGUUAGAUGUCUAAGCAUUUGCCCACGAUACAGGAAUGAGCAUUUUCAUUGGAUAUAACUAGCUUUACUAAAAUAUUUUAAAAAUACACCUAUUGUAGUUUACCUUAAGUUCAUCAUCAUGUCGUGGGAGAUAAAAUAAAAAUGACAGAUUCAGGCAAACAAAUUGAAAAAAAGGGAAAUUGUUGGUAAAAAAAAAAACAAUAUUACAUACAUGUGUUAUAUACAUACAUAUUUCUGAAAUUAAGGACAAUUGUGGACAGAUUUUGAACAAUGUCCUGCGCUUGCUUCCACGCGCAAUUAUCUGGGUAUAUCGUCUACUUAGACCCUACUCAGAAGAUGACAAUAGGGCUACUUCUUUCUUAGUAGUUGUUGUGGUUCCGUGCUUACAACGGAAGAAAUCACGACAAUAUUGACAAAUAUGGCUCAUUUCUGGCUAAUAUAUUAACUCCACACACUAAAAUCAUGACACUGUGUUGUAGCCUAUGAUCACUUCAUGGCCCAUAAUGGUGAUCUAUUUCAUCUUAAUUAGUAGCAUGCUGUUAAAUUUUGUGAUGACCUAUUAUUAUUUCCCUACAAAUAUUUAACAGUACACAUAUCUGUCCUGUAAGGUGACCUGGAACAUAAUGAGAGCUGAAAUUCGAGUUGGUUCCUCCUUUGGACGGGUCGGAUGCGGUUGGGAUGCUCUGCCUUUAGUGCUUGGUAAGUAUGCAUUAUUAUGGUAAUCUUGGUCCUGCCUUGUUGCUUCGUGACAAACCAUGCAUGUGCAUUUCAGAACUUGAGGCCAUACGAGAUGGAAAGGGAAGCGGACAUGACAUAAAGUGUCUAAGUGCAGUUUCAUAUUUAAGAGAAUCUCUUAAAUCUAUCACACUUCUCGCCAACAUUUACGGAAUGUCAUUGGCACUUUUUUUACGAGCGAACUACUUGUAGGCAUGGCGCAAAUGUGUUUUAGCUCUCCCGGGUCAUUUUUUUCUCGUCCGAUCGCCUGACCACUUCUAUUGGGUGGCACAUCACCCAAACGACAAGGAGCAGGGUUCACGAAAUGAGGAGGGAGCUACUCAUAGGAAGUGUGUGAGUCUUACAGAUGGUAGCACAAAUAAAGUUCUUCUGGAAAUUCGCUGCACACCUAUGGCUCUGUCAACCGUCUUGUGGAAGUGGGAAAAUAUGAAGAGAAUUCACAGACAUCCUUGAAAUUCAUGGACCUCCUUGAAAUUCAUCCUCAAUAGAGAAAAGCUACCCAAGGGGCGAGAUGAGAGGCGGCUGCUCUGAAGAGGCGAAGAUGGACAUCAAUCAGCAGAGGUCCACCCUCUAGACCGCAUCUCUCCAGUGUUGGUUGGAACUAUGGGACAUCACUGGACAGUCUUUUUUCACAAUGGACAUAAAAGGACAAUCCUGUUAUGAACAAUCUGAAGCUGAAAAAGACAGUUUAACAAAUGGCAAGUGAUGCCUCAUAAGAGCGCUGCAGCUUCCCCGAGACAAUGUGUCGCAAGUGUGAAAGGAAUGUUGGGGAAAGCUGUGGAUGACUUCACCUCACCUCAAGUUGCCUCAGGGACCAGUACCACAGUGGCUACAAAGUUUUGUUUUAUGGAUACCUGAUAUCUUUGACAAUGUGGAAAAUGGGCUACAAAAAUACGAUGCAAUCUAAAGCACUAGGAACCUACAGCAUUCAUCAUCGAAUGUGUGCACAUUGAGAGUGCUAUUUCCAUUCUGUAGAUUUCCUUUUGAAAUUGUUGCACUGUUUUUUUUUUGUUACUUUGAAAUUCUU
This is a long non-coding RNA of Alosa sapidissima (American shad), 2835 nucleotides long. RefSeq lists it as uncharacterized. Lineage: Eukaryota; Metazoa; Chordata; Actinopteri; Clupeiformes; Clupeidae. The transcript has 4 exons. The record is from RefSeq and is a predicted model, not a curated record.